This 196-nucleotide small nuclear RNA is filed under the name Nicotiana attenuata. Its description in RNAcentral is "snRNA U2". It matches the Rfam family "U2 spliceosomal RNA". Rfam says of the family: U2 is a small nuclear RNA (snRNA) component of the spliceosome (involved in pre-mRNA splicing). Complementary binding between U2 snRNA (in an area lying towards the 5' end but 3' to hairpin I) and the branchpoint sequence (BPS) of the intron results the bulging out of an unpaired adenosine, on the BPS, which initiates a nucleophilic attack at the intronic 5' splice site, thus starting the first of two transesterification reactions that mediate splicing. Lineage: Eukaryota; Viridiplantae; Streptophyta; Magnoliopsida; Solanales; Solanaceae. The record is from Rfam by way of RNAcentral.
AUACCUUUCUCGGCCUUUUGGCUAAGAUCAAGUGUAGUAUCUGUUCUUAUCAGUUUAAUAUUUGAUAUGUGAGUCAUCGACUCACACGAUAUUAACUCAAUUUUUUCAGGGGAAGAGUCCACUACGAUAGCUUGCUAUCGGGUCUCUCAAGUGUUGCGUUGGUGUUGCACUAUUACCUUGGCCUGACACACCCCAC